This 2604-nucleotide long non-coding RNA is filed under the name Sus scrofa (pig). RNAcentral describes it as "lncRNA (ENSSSCG00060059117.1)". Lineage: Eukaryota; Metazoa; Chordata; Mammalia; Artiodactyla; Suidae. The record is from RNAcentral.
GGGGAUGUACUGCAGCGUUUCUCGGGGAUAUACUCUGGGAUGUACUGCAGCAUUUCUCGGGGGUAUACUCUUUGGGAUAUACUGAAGUGAUUCUUGGGGAUAUACUCUUUGGGAUAUACUGGAGCGAUUCUCGGGGAUAUACUCGGGGAUAUACUGCAGCGAUUCUUGGGGAUAUACUCUUUGGGGUAUACUGCAGCGAUUCUCGGGAGUAUACUCUUUGGGAUGUACUGCAGCGAUUCUCGGAGGUAUACUCUUUGGGAUAUACUGCCGUGAUUCUUGGGGAUAUACUCUUUGGGAUAUACUGCAAUGUUUCUCGGGGAUAUACUCUUUGGAAUAUACUGCAGCGAUUCUCGGGAGUAUACUCUUUGGGAUGUACUGCAGCGAUUCUCGGGUGUAUACUCUGGGAUGUACUGCAGCAUUUCUCGGGGAUAUACUCUUUGGAAUAUACUGCAGCGAUUCUCGGAGGUAUACUCUUUGGGAUAUACUGCAGCGAUUCUCGGGGGUAUACUCUUUGGGAUACACUGCAGCGUUUCUCGGGGAUAUACUCUUUGGGGUAUACUGCAGCGAUUCUCGGGAGUAUACUCUUUGGGAUGUACUGCAGCGAUUCUCGGGGGUAUACUCUGGGAUGUACUGCAGCGAUUCUCGGGGGUAUACUCUUUGGGAUGUACUGCAGCUUUUCUCACUGUGUAUAGCCAUCGCAUUUCUGGUGAGAUGUUACAUUCUUACCUAAUUGCAGUGAGCCCCUACCUAAUUUCCCUUACCUGUGAUUGGGGUGGGGCGGUGGUGGAAGGAAAAUGAAAAAGAGCCAGGUUUCUUGCCAGUUUUGAAAUCCUGUGAAACACAACACCUGUAUCUGGGACUAUGCUCAGGCGACCAGCAUGAGUUUAUCACCUGUUUUUGGCCAGGCUCCAUGGCACGUAGAAGUUCCCAGGCUGGGGAUCGAACCAGCACCAAAGUUGCCACCUGUGCCACAGCCGUGGCAGUGCCAGAUCCUAAACCCACUAGGUCACAAGGGAACUUCCAAGUUUAUCACUCUUUAUUUCCAUUGCUAUUUAUAUAUUUAUUUAUUUUUUUGUCUUUUUGCCUUUUCUAGGGCUGCUCCCGGAGCAUAUGGAGGUUCCACAGGCUAGGGGUCUAAUUGGAGCUGUAGCCACCGGCCUACACCAGAGCCACAGCAAUGCGGGAUCUGAGCCGCGUUUGCGACCCACACCACAGCUCAUGGCAACGCCGGAUCCUUAACCCACUGAGCAAGGCCAGGGUUUGAACCUGCAACCUCCCUUCCUAGUCGGAUUCGUUAACCACUGCGCCACAACGGGAACUCCUCCAUUCUUGUUUAUUUAUCUAUUGAAAAUAGCAACAUGUAUAAUUUUGGUCCUUUGCCAUUUGACUUCUGUAUGAUUGGCUAUAGCUCCCUAAUUAUCAUUCUCGCUCCAGUCUUGCUCCUUCUAGUGUGUGUUAGUGUUAUGUGAUCUUUAAGUCUGGUCUCAUCAGUUCUUGGUAAUUUCAUUGUGUCUAACAGUGUCAAAGAUGUAUGUAAUUCUGUUGACAUUUUCGUAAAUUUUACAUAUCUUUGGCAUUUGCCAAAUUUAACUCUUCUCUCACAUAUUUUUUCUCCCGUAAUUUUAGGAAAUUUUAUUUUUGCGUUUGAAUAGGACAAGAGUUAACUGAUUUUUUUAAAUUUGUUUUUUGUACCUAGAAUUGAUUUGAAGAUACUGCUCAGUACAUGGCAUACUGUCAUGGUCAGUCUGUGCAAAACCCUAUGUAUUUUUUAUCCUCUAGUCUCUGUCCCAUUCUUUUCUUCGUUGUAAUAGGCUCCCAUUCUUAUGACUUUAAAAGGUAGAUUAGCGGGAAACAUUUAAAGGGUGCCUUACUAGCUUACCAGUCUUGAGUACUUAUUCGCAGUAGUACUUGGAAUAUAACAGGUUUGAGGAAUGUUCAGGUGUAUUCACAUGCCCGAUGUAAUGCUCCUUUUAAGGAGAAAAUGUUUGGGGCCAAUUAGAAAUAAAUUAGGCGUAUUUGUGAAGCAGGAAAAAACAGUCAUUAGGGAGAAAAGUAUUACCCAUUAGUUUCUGGUUUUAGUGUUGCCAAUUUCUUUUUUUUUUUUUUUUUUAAGGGCCGCACCUGCGGCAUAUGGAGAUUCCCAAGCUAGGGGUCACACUGGAGCUACAGCUGCCGGCCUGCACCACAGCCACAGCAAUGCAGGAUCCGAGCUGCAUCUGCGACCUACACCACAGCUCAUGGCCAUGCUGGAUCCUUAACCCACUGAGCGAGGCCAGGGAUCAAACCUGCAAAUGGUUCCUAGUUGGAUUCGUUUCCACUCCGCCAGGACAGGAACUUCAAUGCUGCCAGUUUCUCCUGGCGCAAAUGCCAGAACUCCCCCCGAUUGCCCCUCAAAUCUAGAAUUAGUAGUUUUAAUAACCUUUUAAGUAAACUUCUAUAAAUGACCGGGGUCAACAUAGUAAUUCCUGAAGUUAAUAUGUCGUGAUUACAACUUUACUCCUUGUAGAGCUGUGUUCAGAAAAAUGACACUGAGAAAAUGACUUAAGAAAGGUUGGUUGGAGCAGAAAUUGGCACAACAUUGUAAAUAACUGUAAUUUAAAAAUU